Molecule: long non-coding RNA, 3523 nt
Organism: Apis florea (little honeybee)
Lineage: Eukaryota; Metazoa; Arthropoda; Insecta; Hymenoptera; Apidae
Source: RefSeq, a predicted model, not a curated record
AUUAAUUCAUAAUUAUGUAUAUUCUAACACUUUUACUAAAAUAAAUUAAUCUAUAUCUACGAAAUCUACACAUUUCUAUCUAUCUUGCGUUUCCUUUACGCAACUAUCGAAUGGAACAUUAAUAUUUGUCAAUUAUCCUAGAACCCUCCGAUGUGCGCGAUUCAUCGUUGAGACACGCAAGGGUCCACUUCCAAUGUGCGACAUAGAAAGCAAUUAUAAUUCUUCGUUCGUAUCGUCCACGUUAUAAUUGGGGUUCCGAUAAUGGACGGCCAAAGAAGAUUAGGAACAGAGACCGUUCACGUGGUCCACUUUUCCAGACAAAGAAAAUCUAACCUAGAAAUCAGAAAAAGUAUGAAGAGAAGAAAGAGACUGCUUGAAGGGAAAGAGGAAAGAAGAUCGCGUCAAGGGAAAAAAGAGGAAAGGAGAAAAGAAUACAGGUAGAGAGGGAAGUUGAGACAAGGAGAGAGACUCGUACGUAUAGUCUCGAUGACUUAUGUGGCUCUGACGCUAUCAGCAAAGCGUCUCUGGAGUCCAGUCCGAGCCUCGGAACAACGCUUCUCGUAAAUCAUCGCGAUCCACCCACACACCAGUAUCGCUCCUCUCACCGCAGAGAGUUCGAGCUUCAAGUUCGAGAUGCGAUAUAACAAUUAACGAGGUCAAAAGGGAGGAUGAAGUUUACUCACGAGCAACUAUUCUCCCUUUCUAUCAUUCUUUAUACAGAAUUAUCGUUUAUACUGAAUUUAUUAGCAACUGGAAACCUAUUAUAAUCAAAUCUUCUAUCAUUUCAUUUUAAGUUGAGAUAAAUUAGGUUAGGAUGGACGCUUCCAUAGUUUGGAAAGGGUUUGAAGCGAUUUAAAAGUAAGUAAGUUUAUCUUUUAUAAUAAAAUUUCGAGGUGAGUUUUAUAUUUAAUGAACAGAAAAUAUAAAAAUUACAUUUCGACUAAUAUUUAUUAAUUUUUAUUCAAAUAGGCCCCAAUCUUAACCUCUCAAACUUAACCUCUUCGAUCAGCAGAAACCACUAUACUGUACAAAAAAUUAGACGCAGAAAACAGUAUGAUUCUCAGAAGUCGGUUUGAAACGUAUCUCUGUCCUACAAAGGGAGACAUCGCACUACAGCUACGCGAUCAAACGAAAGCAAACUCGACUAAGCCAAGAAAAAGAAAAAGACCGUGGGGUCCUUUGAUUGUCGUCGGUGGCAGGGUGCACCCGUGGAGAUACAAAUGACAAUGAUACUACUGUAACCGAGCUACUGCGUUCACAGUUAUCAAGCGUUGUGAUCGUCGGGCUACUAAAGGCCUUCUUUUUUCGGCCGACAGUUGGCUAACUCCCACGCGAAAAAAAGCGUAGGCAGUGUAGCAUUUUUAUUAGGGCAAUUCGCCGGGUGCCCACGACCGCUCGUUGACGUUGCGAUAAUACGUUUUUUUUAAAUUUUUUUUCGAUCUUAUCCGAGCUGCCACCAGCUUAGCUCGUUUGGUUAUCGUUGAAGCGAUUUUGCUCUGUUCUUGCAUUAUUCUACUAUGCUAUACAAAUAUCUACAUGUACUAGGUCUAUCUCAAUAUCAAGAUUGUCAACCAUACUCGGUAUCGAAUGGUAGUCAUGAUUUUCGAUGCAACUAUACUGAAGACGCGUAAAUGCAACUUGUGGUCUUUGGGAAGCGUUGUAGUAUUGUACACUAAGAGAUGUCCUCAGGAUAAACAAGCAGGCUUUGUUCUACGCUUAUGAAUAAAACAUUCGAUAGUGCAUCUCCCGGAGCUAUACCUUGACUACUAUUUUUCACUCAUCUAAGCAUAAUAUAUUCGAAUUGAAAUCAAUAUCAACAACUAACGCUCCACCACUAGAAGAAAGAAACAAAAUCAACUUUCCAACUGGCCAUAAGAAUUCACAAGGUGUACAAGGCGAAACUCGCGUAGCGGAAGCUUUUAACGCCGUACUUUCCUUUCAGGAAAACGGGAACGAAGAGCUCCUGUGGAAAAAAAGCAACAAAGAAGAAGCAGAUGGUAUGAUACGGAGUCUGAAGGAACACGGUCGACUCCGUGAAGCUAGAAGAGAGAGCGUGGAGAGUGUCUCAAUGUCUCCCAGAAGACUGAACCUAAGCAAUUUGUGCUUUCAUUCGCACAAAGCUCGAGCGCCGAGGAAAAUGCCGGCGUAAAAGAGAAGUUAAAACUAUGCCGUCGUUCUUAUUACUGCCUGGAGCCACCCUGACCUAUCCUGGAUCCACCCCUCCCUCCCUCCCUCCCUCUCCCCCUCGUUUCUUCUUCCUUUCACUCGAGGAAGCUUCCCACCCUUUUUCUCCCCCUCUUUGCUGGCUCCAUCCACGGCUUCUUCCCUUUUAGUUGUAUCUCGCUCGAAUUAACGGCGCGAGUAACUUUCUUUCCGCUUACUUCGGGCUUGAUUAAAUAAUUUAUAAGCCAACACGGUGGAAUGUCGCGUUACAGAGGGGUGGAUGCUUCUUUCGCCUUUGCUGGAUUCUCUUCGUGAUCGUGGAUUGGGGUGGAUUGGAGUUUGCUGUUUUGCGACACGAUGUUUUUCGAGGGAGCGGUGGAAUGUAAACUUCAAAAUUAAGGGAUGGUGUUAGGAUUGGUACUUUCAAUUCCUUUUUUUUUUCUUCAAUCUUUUGAUAAAGAUUAUUUUGGAAAAAUGUAGAAAAACGAUAGAUUUAUGACGUUAUUUUUGGUGCAUUAUAUAAAAUUAUCCAAAAAUAUGAUACAAUUAUUAAAGGGAGAAGCAAAAAUAAAAACAAAAAUGGAAUGAUCUCAAAAAUCUGUAAACGAUGUUCAAUAUUAACGUGUUGUAAUACGAGAAACUUCUCGUACACAGGUUUAACGUUGGCAACGAGGAAUCAGGUAUUCCAAGCCGGGAGCAGGGAAUGGAUUACACGUGGAAAAUUAUUCUGGCAAGCGGCAUGUUUCAAACAAUGCCCGGUUCCUCGGAACACGACCCGGCGAUAAGCGGCUGCAACGUCGAAAAUCGUAGAUACAAUAACGUAAAUAAUCGUUAGGUAAACAAUAGAGUAGUUGUUGUUCGUUCCUGCAUUGUUUACGCGGCUUGUCAACUACAUCAUUACAUUUUUGAGAUUACCAAAGCUUUCAAACAAAUGCUUUAAAACGAAACAGAAUGAAAUCAUGAUUCAAAGCGACCACGAAAACCUGAAGUUAUUCGAAGGGGGCAUUCUUACGACUAACACUGGAAUAUGUCGAAUAUCUCGUGGCGGAGAGCAAAGAAAAAUCAAGGGGAUCGCGAGAAGCACUUUGAUUAAAGUAUGUCGCGCGGUUUCACUCGCGGCCCAGUUUGUUUCCCCUUAAAACGCAGAAGAGGAUGAAACUUUUCGUUCAGAAUGGAAUUUUGGAAUUGCGAAUGACAAGCGAGAACCCGCGAGGGUUGUUGCGGUCGUGGCUGACCUAUCUUUUGAUGUUUGCCUUUUAGAGGAAGAAAUCUCUGUUUAUUACAAAAUUGAGAUUCUUUUAAAUGUCAGAGAUAUUGUCAAUGUUUAAGGUUUAUUGGUAAUUUUAUUGAUCAGUGAAGU